ACUUGCUUGGAGGGAAAACCUUCCUUUUGAAGCAGAAGGAACUGGCAAUGUCACCAAAGUCAUGGAAAAGGAGCCUGACAGCUGACCAUCUCCUCAAGGAGGAAGCUGCAAGGCCUUGCCUUGACCAUUGGGUCAGCACCCUGAACCCAAGGGACUGACACUGUUGGAGUCUCAGAGCAGAUACUGUGAUUUCAUAUCAACAAUGAAACAGCCUCUUGUCUCCUCCAAAGUGAGGAGACCCUGUUUUCAUCAGCCAACUCCCCUGACCACCAGUUCCUGUCUAUGACUAUUCAGGGAACCCCACAAAGCAGGACUCCCAUCAACUCCCAAAGACAAAGCCAUUGGCCAGGACCCCUGGCUUGCACCUGUGUCUCCUGUGGAGUUUCAUACUGUGUUCAGCACAUAGGAGAAGCUUGAAAAGAGCCUGUUGAGUGAAAGAUAUUAACACUACUUGGAGUAAGAGCAUUUGCUAAUAUUUUGUCCCAGUUAAAAAUAGUGCUUCGCACAAGAGCUGAAAACAGGCUUCUUCACUAAACGCUUCCUCAAGCUGGUUCUCAGCCUCCUCCUGAAUCAUUACCCUCGAGCCAGUUCGCUGAGAUCUCAGGGAGAUACACGCCAAGAAACGCCAUGCUUCCUCCGGGGAAAGUGCCAGCGGGUACCCACCCCACUGCGGUCGAACCAGCCCAAACCAGGUCUACGAAGUCCGGCAGGGCUGUCCAUUCCAGGACCACCUCCUGGUCUUCCUCAGCCGAAGAGGAAGGACCGCCCCUUCUGACCUGGUUGAAGGAACCUGCAGUCACUCCCGGGUCUCUAUUUUACCACAGCCUGUUAGCAGCCCAGAAUAGCUCCCGAGCCUUCGAUUCCGUGCUCCGGGCAGAGUCUUGAACCAUCAGGAAAUGGUUUUUGCGGUGUGCCAAGGAGGCAGAGGGGGAGGCAGGGAUGGAAAAUCCAAACAUCCCUCCCGAGUCACGGCGAAGAGGCAACCCAUGUUUUCAAGUCAGUCUGGAUCUCAAACAUUGAGUGCCACUUGUGCGAUGGGUUCCUGCCAUUCUUCCCUCUGGGAAUUAGAAGAAGUCGUGACAGCCUGUGGAACCAUCCAGCUGAGUAAGGGGACAGGUCCCUGAGCUGGCGGGAACUGUUACUGAGGCCUCGCCCACACUGAAGAUCAUAAUGCCAUGAAGAAAGUUCUGGCAACUCUGGAAACCUAAGGGAAAGCAUGCCUGUCUCCCCCACCCCUGCCAGUAUUCAGUCACAUAUGUGCUCUUCGUCUUCUGUAUAACUUCCAUCUUGGCACGUUUGAGAGAGAAGUUUGCUGUGUUUGUCUGCCCAAUGGGCUGCCUUCGUUAUAGAUUGUAAAUAACUUCUUUCCAGAA
This is a long non-coding RNA of Felis catus (domestic cat), 1373 nucleotides long. RefSeq lists it as uncharacterized. The record is from RefSeq and is a predicted model, not a curated record. NCBI's taxonomy places the organism in Eukaryota, Metazoa, Chordata, Mammalia, Carnivora, Felidae. The transcript has 3 exons.